Molecule: ribosomal RNA, 180 nt
Filed under: uncultured Glomeromycotina
Lineage: Eukaryota; Fungi; Glomeromycota
Description: partial small subunit ribosomal RNA
Source: RNAcentral
AACCUGGUUGGGUGGUCUGCCUUCACGGUACGUACUGCUUGGCCGGGUUCUACCUCUUGGUGAGCCAGCAUGCCCUUCACUGGGUGUGUCGGGGAACCAGGACUUUUACCUUGAAAAAAUUAGAGUGUUCAAAGCAGGCGUAACUUGCAUUCGAAUAUAUUAGCAUGGGAUAAUAGAAUA